Molecule: non-coding RNA, 628 nt
Organism: Cajanus cajan (pigeon pea)
Lineage: Eukaryota; Viridiplantae; Streptophyta; Magnoliopsida; Fabales; Fabaceae
Source: RefSeq, a predicted model, not a curated record
AAAUUUGGACGACCCUAGAGUGAAGCGAAGAAGCUUCGAGUCUGCACAUCACGAUUCGCCGCCGCGCCGCUCCACCCUUCCGCCACCGUCACAUACGGGUUCCUCAAGCACAUAAGGAUUGUCAUUGGAUAGUUGAUUCGAAGCUAGAAGUUGAGAAUCAAGUUGGUGUUAGUGUCGAGCUUCGAUGAUAGCUUAAAGACGCUCCUUUCUUCUUCUCCUUUCUUGGAUCACUUCAACUAUGAGCACUUCCAUGAUCCCUUGUUGGUUUCCUGAUUUGUUCUAUAUCCGAACUAGAAGAUGGCUGUUGAUGCUAGUGAAGAGUUGUAGAAUAUAUGCUCGAAACAAAAACUAUUGGAAACAAAAGGUUGUCUUAGAAGAUAAAGCAUAUAUGGCUUGGUUUGUUGUGGUUGUAUAAUAGCUUUAGCUACCGGUUUCUUCUUUUGCCAAUUUUGUGUGGAUAAUGGUGAAUUUAUUCUUAAAAAAAUGUCAUCAAAUAACAUGAAAAGCCGAAAAUGGUUAAAACUUGAAAGGUUUGUAAGCAUUGAUUGGGUUAGUUCAAACUCUUGACAUAUUCUGCCUUAAAAUAAAAACAAAAAUGAAUUGCCCUUCUUAACUUCUUUGACUUAUG